RNAcentral lists this transfer RNA (74 nucleotides) under Verrucomicrobiota bacterium. Its description in RNAcentral is "tRNA-His". It matches the Rfam family "tRNA". Rfam says of the family: Transfer RNA (tRNA) molecules are approximately 80 nucleotides in length. Their secondary structure includes four short double-helical elements and three loops (D, anti-codon, and T loops). The record is from RNAcentral. Lineage: Bacteria; Pseudomonadati; Verrucomicrobiota. RNAcentral also lists the same sequence under 1 other name.
GCGGUCGUAGCUCAGCUGGUUAGAGCGUUGGAUUGUGGAUCCAAAUGUCGCGGGUUCGAGCCCCGUCGAUCGCC